GCCAAGGAAGAAGAUGGAGAACAUAAAAGAAGGACAUCAGUGGGCGAAAAGCUCAAUGCACGUCAUCACAAGGCAAAGCAUUGGUGGAAUACAUUCUUUCUCAUAUCAUCUGCAUUUGCCAUCUUCAACGAUCCUAUCUUCUGUUACCUGAAUGCCAUUGACGAUGAAAAUAAGUGCAUCACUACGGACAACUCUUUGGCCAGAAACUAUAUUUACUCUCGAACAGUCACAGAUGUUUUCUACCUAAUCGACUUUCUUAUUUCUAAGUGUGGUUGUUGUUGUUGUUGUUGUUGUUGUUGUGGUGGUAGAAGGAAGAGAUCAUGUCGGUCUUGCUUUCCUAACCUAUUAUCCACCCUAUCUCGCAUCUACGUUUUUCUUCCCAUUGCGCAGAUCCUCGUGACCCGCAUGAAAGACCACCAAGAUCCGAAUUCUAGUAACUUUCUUUUUCUCACUUCCCUCCAAUAUACUUUACGGAUUUAUUAUAUCUACGGAUCGUUAGAGCGGCGUCCUAUCAUAGACAUAACCCGGGCUGAAAGAUGGCUUAGACCUAUAUUGGGUUUUGUUCCCUUUAUCCUUGCUUCACAUCUAUUUGGAGCCUUCUGGUACCUUCUUGCUACUCAAAGACAGAUUCAUUGUUGGGUUUCAACGCGUAAUCAAAUCAAUCCUAUUGUCAGUCCCAAUAAAACAAUCAUUUAUAUAACGAGUUCAAGUUCUAUGGGAUAUGUGGCCUGUAGCGCUCAACAUAACCUCACAUAUCCUACUGGGCAUAAUAUCUCGCUCUGGGAUGACUUAUGCCCGGUCAAAGACGCUGAUCCAAAGAUCUUUGAUUUUGGUAUAUAUUUGUACGCUCUUCAA
Molecule: long non-coding RNA, 855 nt
Organism: Rosa rugosa (rugosa rose)
Lineage: Eukaryota; Viridiplantae; Streptophyta; Magnoliopsida; Rosales; Rosaceae
Exons: 3
Source: RefSeq, a predicted model, not a curated record